CGAAGGACCCGAGCGUUAUCCGGAUUUAUUGGGUUUAAAGGGUGCGUAGGCGGAUUAGUAAGUCAGUGGUGAAAGCCCAUCGCUUAACGGUGGAAUUGCCAUUGAUACUGCUAGUCUUGAGUAUGGUUGAGGUGGGCGGAAUGUGUCAUGUAGCGGUGAAAUGCUUAGAUAUGACCCAGAACACCAAUUGCGAAGGCAGCUCGCUAAGCCAUAACUGACGCUGAUGCACGAAAGCGUGGGGGAGCAAACAGGAUUAGAUACCCUGGUAGUCCACGCCCUAAACUAUGAUCACUCGUUGUUGGCGAUACACAGUCAGCGACUAAGGGAAACCAUUAAGUGAUCCACCUGGGAAGUACGACCGCAAGGUUG
Molecule: ribosomal RNA, 369 nt
Filed under: uncultured organism
Description: bacterial SSU rRNA
Rfam family: Bacterial small subunit ribosomal RNA
Source: RNAcentral